Alligator mississippiensis (American alligator) is the source of this 5141-nucleotide long non-coding RNA. RefSeq lists it as uncharacterized. Lineage: Eukaryota; Metazoa; Chordata; Crocodylia; Alligatoridae. The record is from RefSeq and is a predicted model, not a curated record. The transcript has 2 exons.
UAGUUCUUUCUAGCCCCCAGGGGCAGAAAUGUCAGAUUGGUGGAAGCUGUCCUGAACAGAUGGCUGCUUGUCUCGGCUCGGUUUGAGAGGGAGGGAAUAUUGCCCACAACCCAAUACUAUCAGGCUUAGCACCCUUUCAUCUGAUGCUAUUUGCAUUUCAUUUUCCUUUUCUCAAAGGACGUGGAGGAUGAGGGUUUCCUGACUUAACAUGCCAGACCCACUUCCUUGAAUCAUGGAUGUGCAGUGAUUGGGCUCCUGGAUUCACUAGUCAGCUGUCAUCUGUGAAAUUGGAACAUAACCUCGAACCGAUGCAAUUUGUUACGUUAACUGGAACGAUGAGUAAAGCAGAAUCAUAAGGCACGGAAGUGAAACUAGGCAGCAGCUAAACCUUCUCCGUAUCUACACCAGGAGGAUGCAGCGAGCUCCAUCUCGGUACGGCUUUCAGCGCUGGGGCUUACCCGAACUAAAUGAACCCAAGCAAGAGUGACAUUGGUUUAAAUGCAUUGAGGGUUCACAUCUGGCUUCACUAGACUGAUGUCUGAACUGAUGUGGUUAGGACGGUGCCUUUGUUAGUACAGAUGAGGACCAAACUCAUGGCUGGUGGUCCAUGUUGCUCUUCCCCAGGGUUUAUUAGGACCAGUUUCCAUCAGGGGGCACCAACCAGAAGCCAGCAGAGUUUGUAUCUUGAAUAUUGUGGAAGCCCGGUUCCUGUGUGGCUGUGCCAGCUGGAUCUCCCUGCUCCAAACUCUGCCAGAUGAGGUGGGCUUUACAGAGGACUGACAAAAUCGUCAGCUUCUGUCAAACAACAAAGCAAAAAAGGAAACCGAUUUAGGCAUGCUCAGGCCAUGCUAAUUAUGCAGAAGCACGCAGAAAAUAAAAAUACCCGGUGAGCUCCAAGAACUGGCUGGCAACCCAAUUACUACCCUGGAGGUGGGUAGGGGAAAACAGAAUUGAAAUGUCGUUUUCAGACAUAAUCUGCUUAUUUUAAUAGACCAUUCAACCUAACCAGUUGCUGUUUUCCUCCCCUCUCUACCACAGACCAAUAGAGAAGGCACUUCUCUAGGUCUGAGCUCUUUGCUGAGUCUAUUGUACGUGUAAUAGACCCAGAUUGCUGUGCCUGGAAAUAUUUCAGCCCUCCCCUCCCUCUUUGCCCUCGUUCACUUCUUGUGAUGUCACAUUAUGAAAUGAUCGUGAUUCACUUUGCAGUUGCCAUGGCGAUGCUAGCUAUGCUCAUGUGCUCAGAACCAACACGUUCGCUGCAGCCUGCACCGGGAGCGAUUCGGAGACGGCGGGUUGGAGGCCAGAGCCGGUGCUGGUGAGCAGCUGUGGGAAGUGUCACAGACAAUAGCUGUGUCUGAUUUCACAAGAAAGUCACUUGGGUGCAAGGCUAUUAAGGAGACUGCAACAAUUCAGGCAGGAGAGGUCAAAAGAGUGGUCACCUUCAGCAAUCAAUAUCGUGAGUAAUUUAGCCUUCUGCAGCUCUGGACAGCCAAGAGGUUUAACGCACUUGCGCUUUAAGCCUCACGGCCCCCCUCUGUGAUGGGCAGCGUUAUCCACAUUUGGCAGAGGGCAAAAUGGAAGUGCAGAAAAGGUGGGCGAUUUUCUCAAGGUCGUACAGGCUGUGGCAGAGCUGCAAAUAGCCCUCGACUCCCUGCGCGGGGCUUCAGGCACGAGAGCACAACUUGCAGGGUCUCUGCUGCAAUAAAGAACAGGAAAGCACAGAGCGACCUGUCAUUUGGGGCCCAGUCCUUCAUGGACUCUCGAGCAGGUGGAGCCCCUUCGAAGGAGUCCUUAGGGCCCUGUGCUGUGGUCUGACGGCAUCCCAUUCAGUGCAAGGCUGGGCUGGGACUUGGCACCUGCUUCAGCUUCAUCUCUUGGCUGCUUCCUGUGUCUAACCGGCCCUGUCGUUAAAUAAAUAAAUAACCGUGGGUGGGUCGGAGCUGUUGAGACUUGCUUCAGAUUAAAACUGGGUGAUCCUUCCAGCAGAAGUUUUGUCUGCACGAACCUAGGAAUGUGCCCGUCGGUUUAUCGUUGAGCAAAAUUGUUAGCGUGGUUUUUUUUCCCCCUGCUCGAUAUCACCCCAAAAAAGAAAACCCACCUAUUUAAAUGCAUCUCUCCAUCUGUUUGAUUGUAUAUUCCAGCAAAAGUUGAAGGUAGGAGCAGUGCAGCAGUCUUCAAAUGUGGGCUUCAUAGCUUGAGAAAUGCUGGGAGUUUUCCUGAGCGUUUCCUGGGCUGGCUUAUAUUCUGAGUGUUGAAGGGCAUGGAAAGGGCCUUUAAUGCAGAUUUAGCUGAAGAAUUUUGUUUGUGAAGAUCUUCAGUGGAAUAGUUUUUUGUGUGGGGCAAUAUCGGAGAGUCCUAAAACCAAGACAGGCCUUGUACUCUUCGAGAUGUGGGUCAAGCAAGGUCAUUACACCUUAAUCACUUCCGUGACGAGUGGUGCACGUUAACAUUUUUCAGCGUCAACAAACGUAAGAGCAUUGACAUGUCGCAUGAAAAAUCAGGCGUCGAGUCAGCGGGCAGAUUCAAUAUAGGUUGGGGGUUUUUUAUAGCACCGUUGAAAGACAGGAUGAGAUGGAGCCCUAGAGGGACUCGGUGAAGGGCUCGACUGUUCUCCUUGGCCGGCAGUGAGGUGCUUGCUGCAGCAAAGGAAACCACAAGCACAUCACGUCAUGGCAAAGGAUGAAUGUUGUACCAAAAUAACAGGCGAAAACCAGCGGGCAGGACUGAUUGUAAAUCCAGCCAACCGACAAGGUAGCUGCGUUUUGAGCACAUGAAUGUGACUUUACCUGCGAGUUGGAAUAAUUUAGCUUCAGAUUCUCUUCCACGUGGAUUCUUAGUACUUGCUCAUUGCUGUAGUAUCCAAAUGCUUUUUCGUAGAGCAUUAAGUGAUGCGUCUAAUACUGGUCAGGUGUGGCUCAUAUCUUAUUUCAUUCUUCCCCCCUGCAAGGGGAGAUGCGUAAGUGCGGGGUUCGGUUUUGUGUGUCAAAAUGCAUGUGCACGCUCUGUUUGCUCAAGAAGACAAGGCAAAGAAGUGCAACUUGCUUGCAGUGGUAUGUUCCAAAUAUUAUUAAGUGCUGCACGUAUUUGUGAGAGAGCCUGAUCCUGCCCCCACUGAAGAACAGGGCAUAAAUCCCAUUGAUUUAAAAGGAAGUAGCCUCACGCCCGAAGUUCUGUAACUCUGGACUGAAUCCACGCAAGUCAGGUUGGACUCCAACCAUACUGAUGGUAUCCAGGUGACUGCAGGAACUGGAGGUGUUUAGACUUGCUUUUCCAUUUGGCAUUAUCUUCAAAAUGAGCCGAUGCCUUAAAUAUUGCAACGGGGGUGCGGGGGUGAUAGCAAUAAAGUUUUCUGUACAAGUCAAAGCAGGGCAUGUAAGCUUCCUUAUAUUAUGCUGCCCUGGUGUCUCAACCUGAUUCAUAGCUCAACCUACCGGGUUCAUUAGCUGCAUCUGAUUUGGCCCUUCCGGCUCCCAUAGCUUACAAGGAGUCGGUCCAAGGGCUGCAGUGCUUGUAUGAUGUUAAGUGGACACAGAGCUGUACCUAACAAACUCCGUUCGCUCUGGUGACCAAAUAGCCCUUGGUUAUUGCUAGUCGGCACCCAGGGCUCAAUUCAAAGCUGUCAACUCUAGGUGAAAGGUCUUAGGCUGCUGCUCCUCCUCUGAGAGCAGCUUGACCUGGUGGAGCGAUAUUGUUCAUGAUUAUACGGCAAUGAUUUGGAGUACUGCAGAUCCUGCUAGAGAUCCCCAGUGUUUAGAGCAAUGCUACAGGGCACAGUUUUAUGUUUUUCGUUAGGGUGUUCCCCCUCUUGCAUAUUUGUAGGCUUUUGCCAAGAGCUUUAUUGUGUUAAUAAAUGACCUGGGAGCAAAGGGAGGCUCAAAUUCAUUCUGAGGUCUUCGCUGCUCUUUGUAAACCGCUUGAGCUGAACUCCUUGCACAUUAGGAAGUCAAUUGGUCCCCUGGAGUGAUCUGCACUCUCGCGUUCUUGCUCAGGGCCAUUUGUUAUCUGUUAUCUUACUCUUCACACAGGGAGUAAUGGUAUAAUCCAGAAAUGGCACCCCAUUCCUGGGCCAUCACGGGAGAGAACCGUCUAGGUCAAAUAAAUCAUCCAUACAUCUUAGGCUGAGCAGGUGUUUUCCCAAGAUAUGGCUGGAAAAUUGUGUCUUCACACAUCCCACAGGGAGACUGGAACAAAGUGGCUCCAGUUUUGUUCCCACGCUAACACCUACCUCCAUGCCGAAUUCUCCAGCAAAUGCAAAUAUUUAGUGAAAAUAAAGAUGUAGGAGCCUUAAGAAGACGUUGGUAGCAGUCCGCUGUUAAUUUCUAAAGGUAAUAUUUUGGGCAGUUUAGUGUAUUGUUGUUGCAAAAGGGAUAUUGUUUUACUGGAAGGCAAAUGUACCGGUGCCUUGAAGCUUGUACAUCUCUGUCCACAAGCAAGGUACUCAUUUAGUGGUACAAACAUGCUGUGUAUUUUAAAACGAGUCUAUUGCUGUGUCACCAAGGAGGGCAUGGGCAUGAACAUAUAGGGAUACAUCCCUUUGGUGUUCAAUUAGAUUUUUUUUUUAAUUAUGGUUUUCUUCUGCCGUUUGAUUAUUCAUUGCAUUCCAAUACAAUUUACACAGCGGUGUGGAAGUUGGAAGUAGUCAUUCUCGCUUUGUACAGCUGUGCAUUUGCUAUUCAAUAGACUGUUACUUUCUAGCAUGUCUAUCAGGAAACAUUGCUUUACCUGGAAAGCUGGUUUGUUGGGGUUUUUUUUUAAAUGCAUCAUUAGUGAAAACAAGAAAUCAAGAAUCCUCUACAAAAAGCUUUUAAAGAAAGUGGGUUUAAAAGCAAUUUUAUUUUGUCUGCAGGAGCACUCUCUGAGUGCAUCUCAUUUUUUUUAUUUUAUGGUUUUUGUGGUCAUCAGUUCCAUUAUGGGAACACCCAAAAUGCUUUCCAAACACACAGGGAGAUAUACUCACUGUUCUUUAUCUCUUUGGCAGGGAUGGGAAAACAAGAACAAAGGCAAAUAUAGGAUGUUCAAACAAAAUAUCCUGUCAUGGCAAUGUGUAUGGAAAACCCAUAUUUUAAGUACUGUUGUAUCCUUAUGCUCUGGAAAACAAUGGCUCUAGCACAUUAGGAAUAAAUUAACUUAUUGCCUGCAAA